This 379-nucleotide unclassified non-coding RNA is filed under the name uncultured Clostridia bacterium. Its description in RNAcentral is "contains 16S-23S intergenic spacer region". Lineage: Bacteria; Bacillati; Bacillota; Clostridia. The record is from RNAcentral.
UCCGGCUUGUCACCGGCAGUCUGCUGUGAGUCCCCGACUUGACUCGCUGGUAACACAGCAUAGGGGUUGCGCUCGUUGCGGGACUUAACCCAACAUCUCACGACACGAGCUGACGACAACCAUGCAGCACCUGUCUCCACGCUCCCGAAGGCACUCCUCCCUUUCAGGAGGAUUCGUAGGAUGUCAAGCCCAGGUAAGGUUCUUCGCGUUGCGUCGAAUUAAACCACAUGCUCCACUGCUUGUGCGGGCCCCCGUCAAUUCCUUUGAGUUUCAACCUUGCGGUCGUAGUCCCCAGGCGGGAUACUUAUUGCGUUAACUCCGGCACGGAAGGGGUCGAUACCUCCCACACCUAGUAUCCAUCGUUUACGGCGUGGACUAC